This 664-nucleotide ribosomal RNA is filed under the name Staphylococcus aureus. RNAcentral's name for it is "bacterial SSU rRNA". It matches the Rfam family "Bacterial small subunit ribosomal RNA", at positions 66 to 712 of the family's 1533-position model. Lineage: Bacteria; Bacillati; Bacillota; Bacilli; Caryophanales; Staphylococcaceae. The record is from RNAcentral.
GCGAACGGACGAGAAGCUUGCUUCUCUGAUGUUAGCGGCGGACGGGUGAGUAACACGUGGAUAACCUACCUAUAAGACUGGGAUAACUUCGGGAAACCGGAGCUAAUACCGGAUAAUAUUUUGAACCGCAUGGUUCAAAAGUGAAAGACGGUCUUGCUGUCACUUAUAGAUGGAUCCGCGCUGCAUUAGCUAGUUGGUAAGGUAACGGCUUACCAAGGCAACGAUGCAUAGCCGACCUGAGAGGGUGAUCGGCCACACUGGAACUGAGACACGGUCCAGACUCCUACGGGAGGCAGCAGUAGGGAAUCUUCCGCAAUGGGCGAAAGCCUGACGGAGCAACGCCGCGUGAGUGAUGAAGGUCUUCGGAUCGUAAAACUCUGUUAUUAGGGAAGAACAUAUGUGUAAGUAACUGUGCACAUCUUGACGGUACCUAAUCAGAAAGCCACGGCUAACUACGUGCCAGCAGCCGCGGUAAUACGUAGGUGGCAAGCGUUAUCCGGAAUUAUUGGGCGUAAAGCGCGCGUAGGCGGUUUUUUAAGUCUGAUGUGAAAGCCCACGGCUCAACCGUGGAGGGUCAUUGGAAACUGGAAAACUUGAGUGCAGAAGAGGAAAGUGGAAUUCCAUGUGUAGCGGUGAAAUGCGCAGAGAUAUGGAGGAACACCAG